GUGUCAGCCGCCGCGGUAAUACGUAGGGGGCAAGCGUUGUCCGGACUUACUGGGCGUAAAGCGCGUGCAGGCGGAUUGGUAUGUGCCGUGUGAAAGCUCUCAGCUUGCCUGGGAGAGGUCGCGGUAGACAGCCGAUCUGGAGGCUCGGAGAGGUCAGUGGAAUUCCCGGUGUAGUGGUGAAAUGCGUAGAUAUCGGGAGGAACACCAGUGGCGCAAGCGGCUGACUGGCCGAGACCUGACGCUGAGACGCGACGGCGUGGGGAGCAAACCGGAUUAGAUACCCCAGUAGUCC
RNAcentral lists this ribosomal RNA (292 nucleotides) under uncultured bacterium. RNAcentral's name for it is "partial 16S ribosomal RNA". It matches the Rfam family "Bacterial small subunit ribosomal RNA", at positions 505 to 796 of the family's 1533-position model. The record is from RNAcentral.